GAUGAACGCUGGCGGCGUGCCUAAUACAUGCAAGUCGAGCGAACAGACGAGGAGCUUGCUCCUUCGACGUUAGCGGCGGACGGGUGAGUAACACGUAGGUAACCUACCUAUAAGACUGGGAUAACUUCGGGAAACCGGAGCUAAUACCGGAUAAUAUUUCGAACCGCAUGGUUCGAUAGUGAAAGAUGGCUUUGCUAUCACUUAUAGAUGGACCUGCGCCGUAUUAGCUAGUUGGUAAGGUAACGGCUUACCAAGGCAACGAUACGUAGCCGACUUGAGAGGGUGAUCGGCCACACUGGAACUGAGACACGGUCCAGACUACUACGGGAGGCAGCAGUAGGGAAUCUUCCGCAAUGGGCGAAAGCCUGACGGAGCAACGCCGCGUGAGUGAUGAAGGUCUUCGGAUCGUAAAACUCUGUUAUUAGGGAAGAACAAACGUGUAAGUAACUGUGCACGUCUUGACGGUACCUAAUCAGAAAGCCACGGCUAACUACGUG
RNAcentral lists this ribosomal RNA (497 nucleotides) under uncultured bacterium. RNAcentral's name for it is "partial 16S ribosomal RNA". It matches the Rfam family "Bacterial small subunit ribosomal RNA", at positions 28 to 507 of the family's 1533-position model. The record is from RNAcentral.